Marmota monax (woodchuck) is the source of this 3462-nucleotide RNA transcript. RefSeq lists it as uncharacterized. The record is from RefSeq and is a predicted model, not a curated record. NCBI's taxonomy places the organism in Eukaryota, Metazoa, Chordata, Mammalia, Rodentia, Sciuridae. The transcript is spliced from 2 exons.
UCUCAGCAGGUAGUUUGGCCCAGAGACCCUUGGAAGGAGCAGGCUAGGGGAGCUGGGGGGACAGGGUUUGAGAGUCCAUCUGAUUGGCCUGCAAGAGAGGCAGUGGGUACCUCCAGGGCCUUUGAACCGGGGAGAGGGGAGGGCUAGCAGUUUCCUGAUGGGCAUCUGCAGCCUCCCUGGCCUGGAAGUGAACUUUGGGGCCCAACUGCUGCUCCUGGGACCCUGACAGACAUGGCUUGGGUACAGAACUCUGUCUCCAAGUUGAGGUGCUCUUUUCUCCACCUGUGGCUGGAUUGGGCGUGGUGGCAGUGGCAGUUCCAUUUUCUUGAUGCUGUGGUUCUGCUGAGCAUUUCCCUGAGCCCCAGAGAGGGGCAGCGCCCUGGCCGUCGAGCUUGAGCCAGUCUCUUCCCUGCACCAGAGUGCCUGGGACAAGAAUCAGCCCUGUGUGACCAUGGCCUGGGCUCCACCCUCUCGGAGCCCUGGUCACUUCUCUGCACAUGGGGAUGACAAUCCGGAAGCAUGUCAUGAAGCAGACUCUGCAGUGCCCCACGUGCCACUGGAGCUGCCCAAGCACUUCCCUCCUGUGGGCAGCCACCACACCCACUUCUGGUCUCAGUGCUCUCCCUCUGCAGCCCCCUCUCUAGCCGGACCUUUGCUGACUCGGGAGGGCCUCUGUGUGGACAAACCCCUUACUCUUAUUUGCUUGAGACUAGAAUGGGGCUUUUCAAAAGGGACACCUGAAAAGCAGGCACAGCAGGGACUGCGCCUCUCCAGGUGCCUGGAGAGCAGCCCCAGCGGGACUGCAGGCUGGGGGUCCAGGUGGACCGGCUGCGCAGACCUCUGCCUAUGGACAUUAUGGCGACUAUGUCCUGGCUAUGGGAUCCACCAACCCUUCCAGUGCAAGUUGGUAGCCUCUGCAAGGGGGCCUGUGGUGGUCAGGGCAUGUCUGAGUUCUGGAUUUGGCUGUUGGACUUGCUGCUGUGUGACCUUGACCCAUUAUAACCUCCCACCCCGGUGUCCUCACUUGUGCAUGGGGUGCUGGGCCAGAGCUGGGAACUGAGGGGAUCUGCUGGUGGGAUGAAGGAGCAAUGCACCCAACGCAUCAGCAGUGAGGACAUUUGUGAAAAAACAGGAUGAGCGUGACAGAGGGGUGUGGCUUGGAGACAAGUGAACAGAUCCAGUGGGCUCCAGAGUUAACCACGGAAAGAACCGAGAGGAAAUUCCCAGCAGGGGAAGAGCAAGUGCCGAGGCCUUGAUGCGGGAACAGCCUUGAUGCAGCGGGGAAUGCUAGAGGCCAUGGCUGGAGGUCGCGGAGUGAGGCCGGAGAGGCAGGGCUGCUGGAGCGGCUCAGAGGGGCCUGGGAGAGCCCUCGGUGCGCAUCAGCGGGAGGGGCCACCAUCCAACCUAAACACUUCCGAAUGCCAGAGAAUGGCAAGAAGGAAGAGGGUUGGCGCUUGAGCAAGACCUCGGCUAGUGAGGGCCCCUGCGGGGGUCGGGCAAGGCGGAGAGCAGCCCUGAAAGUAGGCGGGUGGUGACCCCGAAAGGAGAGCAGACCGAUGGAUUUGCGAUGAGCUGGAUUUGGGCGUGAGAAAUGAGGAGUCAAAAGUUCUGGCCUGAACAGCUUGCUGGGCUGUGGGAGAGAUGGUGGCUCUCGGGUUUGGUCUCAGACAGGUGAGCUCUGAGAGGCCAGUGGCUCAAGAGCAGAGGUCAGGUGGGCCUGGGACCCCCACGAUGGCGUUUGGAGAGACACCCUGGCUGGACAGCGCUGUCAGAGGAUUGAGGGGCCCAGGGGAGCGGGCAGGGAGGGAAAACAGUCGUGCCGAGCCCUGGGUAUUCCCAGCUCCGAAGGAAGAGGAGGGCCCUGCAAAGGAGCCUGGGCCCAUGGAGCAGCAGAGAGGAGCUCACGAGCUCUCUCCUGCCCGGCCGUGCGCUUUGGGUUUUUUGCUUUCUUUUUUGUUUCAAACUAAGUGUGUGGAGGGAGCACAGUGGAAGUUUGUAACUUGCUGCUCCCUUCCCUCUGGGCACAGGAUCCCUCCUAAAAGAACCCACUAGAAGGGGAAGAGGUGGAGCUAAUCAGGCACCCUACGCUUAGGGAUGGUCACAUGCCCAGACCUGGCCAUUCAGAGAGCCCUCAUCUCCCUGCCCACUGUGAUUGGCUCUGGGGAGGGCAUGUGACCCUGAUUGUGCCAAUGAUUAUUAUGCCUGGUACUUCCUGUUGAAGCUGUUGGGAAGCUGCCCCUUCUGCCAGGGCUGGUGAGCUGGGGAGGUGUUUUCCUGGGCAUGGCCAUGGCUGGGCCAGGUACAUGAUCCAUGGGGUGCACUGCAAAAUGAAAUUUCAGGGCCCCUUGCUAAAAAGUAAGGAAGAAUGACACUUCCAUAGUCUCUCUCUCAGCUUGUCCUGGUGUUUUAAAUUUUCUAUUUAUGUCAUUCUAAGUAAGGAAAAAUUAAAAAGUUGAGUUACUAGCAUGAAGCCGGUCGCAGUGGUGCACGCCUAUAAGGGAGGCUGAGGCAGGAGGAUGGCAAAUUCAAAGUCAGCCUCAGUAGUUUAGCAAGGCCCUAAACAACAAGUGUGGGCAGUGGUUAAGUACCUCUGGAUUCAAUCCCCAGUACCUAAAUAAAUAAGUAAAUAAAAGAAAUUGCUAGCAUGAAUUUUGCCACUCAUUUUUAUAUAGUGCAGUUUGGUUUAAAUAAAUAUGAAUAUCAAUUAAAUUCAUGUGCAGGUAAAAGGAGUCAUUAGUUUGGGGCUGUUCCCAGGAAAGGUGUCACUGUGUGUAACAGAUUGUAACUUUAAAAAGCAUGUUGUUUUUUUAUGAAUAUAAGAGUGCUUGGGAAUUCCUUAAAUUUCAUGCAAUAAACUAUUUUUUAUAAAAUAAAUAAACAUUUAAUAUAUAAAUAUCCAUCCAUAUAUGGUUGGAUGGAUAUUUUUGUAAUAUAUGUAUGUACAUAUAUAUACACAUAUAUGAAUUCAUCUGCAGAAUCAUCAAAAUGAGAGGCUGGGAUUGUGGCUCAGAGGCAGAGCGCUCGCCUAACAUGCAUGAGGCACUGGGUUCGAUCCUCAGCACCACAUAAGUAUAAAAUAUAUUGUGUCCACCUAUAAGUAAAAAAUAAAUAUUUAAUAUUUCGUGGCUUGUCUUGGAGGGUCCCUUGAGCUGACCAGAAGCCAGGCUCGGGCAGGUAGCCACAGCAGGAGGAGAGGACUCUCCCAGCACAAGGGACUCUUCUCCCCUCUGGAGAAGGUUGCCACCAGGAAGCAUGUACCCUUCCAGCGCCUUUCACCCCUGCUGUGCCAGCCAGAGGACAUGCCCUGUCCCUGGGCCUGACACCUGCUGCUCAGGCCCUCCACCUCCAGGCUGAGGUCUUGAGCUCCAGCACUGCCCCCUUGUCUCAGGCCUCCCUUCUAGCUUGCAGAGAAAUAGCCCCCAAGGAUGUCAGUACUUGGACAGGGGAGGGGAGAAGCUCUCC